This 716-nucleotide ribosomal RNA is filed under the name uncultured bacterium. RNAcentral's name for it is "bacterial SSU rRNA". It matches the Rfam family "Bacterial small subunit ribosomal RNA", at positions 121 to 824 of the family's 1533-position model. The record is from RNAcentral.
GCAACCUGCCCAAAAGAGGGGGAUAACACUUGGAAACAGGUGCUAAUACCGCAUAACCAUAGUUACCGCAUGGUAACUAUGUAAAAGGUGGCUAUGCUACCGCUUUUGGAUGGGCCCGCGACGCAUUAGCUAGUUGGUGGGGUAAAGGCUUACCAAGGCAAUGAUGCGUAGCCGAACUGAGAGGUUGAUCGGCCACAUUGGGACUGAGACACGGCCCAAACUCCUACGGGAGGCAGCAGUAGGGAAUCUUCCACAAUGGGCGAAAGCCUGAUGGAGCAACGCCGCGUGGGUGAAGAAGGUCUUCGGAUCGUAAAACCCUGUUGUUAGAGAAGAAAGUGCGUGAGAGUAACUGUUCACGUUUCGACGGUAUCUAACCAGAAAGCCACGGCUAACUACGUGCCAGCAGCCGCGGUAAUACGUAGGUGGCAAGCGUUAUCCGGAUUUAUUGGGCGUAAAGAGAACGCAGGCGGUCUUUUAAGUCUGAUGUGAAAGCCUUCGGCUUAACCGGAGUAGUGCAUUGGAAACUGGGAGACUUGAGUGCAGAAGAGGAGAGUGGAACUCCAUGUGUAGCGGUGAAAUGCGUAGAUAUAUGGAAGAACACCAGUGGCGAAAGCGGCUCUCUGGUCUGUAACUGACGCUGAGGUUCGAAAGCGUGGGUAGCAAACAGGAUUAGAUACCCUGGUAGUCCACGCCGUAAACGAUGAAUGCUAAGUGUU